This 253-nucleotide ribosomal RNA is filed under the name uncultured bacterium. Its description in RNAcentral is "partial 16S ribosomal RNA". It matches the Rfam family "Bacterial small subunit ribosomal RNA", at positions 524 to 776 of the family's 1533-position model. The record is from RNAcentral.
UACGUAGGGGGCAAGCGUUGUCCGGAUUUAUUGGGCGUAAAGAGCGUGUAGGCGGCCAGGUAGGUCAGCUGUGAAAACUCGAGGCUCAACCUCGAGACGCCGGUUGAAACGAUCUGGCUAGAGUCCGGAAGAGGAGAGUGGAAUUCCUGGUGUAGCGGUGAAAUGCGCAGAUAUCAGGAAGAACACCAGUGGCUAAGGCGGCUCUCUAGUACGGUACUGACGCUGAGACGCGAAAGCGUGGGGAGCGAACAGG